GAUGAAGAACGUAGCGAAAUGCGAUAAGUAAUGUGAAUUGCAGAAUUCAGUGAAUCAUCGAAUCUUUGAACGCACAUUGCGCCCGCUAGUAUUCUGGCGGGCAUGCCUGUCCGAGCGUCAUUUCAACCAUCAAGCCCCCGGGCUUGGUGUUGGGGAUCGGCGAGCCUCCGCGCCCGCCGUCCCCUAAAUCUAGUGGCGGUCUCGCUGUAGCUUCCUCUGCGUAGUAGCACACCUCGCACUGGGAAACAGCGCGGCCACGCCGUUAAACCCCCAACUUCUGAACGUUUGACCUCGGAUCAGGUAGGAAUACCCGCUGAACUUAAGCAUAUCAAUAAGCGGAGGA
RNAcentral lists this unclassified non-coding RNA (343 nucleotides) under soil metagenome. Its description in RNAcentral is "partial contains 5.8S ribosomal RNA, internal transcribed spacer 2, and large subunit ribosomal RNA". The stretch from base 1 to 120 matches the Rfam family "5.8S ribosomal RNA", at positions 35 to 154 of the family's 154-position model. The record is from RNAcentral.